GCUUAUGGCCAUACCACCCUGAGCGCGCCCGAUCUCGUCUGAUCUCGGAAGCUAAGCAGGGUCGGGCCUGGUUAGUACUUGGAUGGGAGACCGCCUGGGAAUACCAGGUGUUGUAAGCUUUA
RNAcentral lists this ribosomal RNA (122 nucleotides) under Cyprinus carpio (common carp). The record is from RNAcentral. Lineage: Eukaryota; Metazoa; Chordata; Actinopteri; Cypriniformes; Cyprinidae.